RNAcentral lists this ribosomal RNA (468 nucleotides) under uncultured bacterium. RNAcentral's name for it is "partial 16S ribosomal RNA". It matches the Rfam family "Bacterial small subunit ribosomal RNA", at positions 28 to 507 of the family's 1533-position model. The record is from RNAcentral.
GACGAACGCUGGCGGCGUGCUUAACACAUGCAAGUCGAACGGAAAGGCCCUGCUUUUGUGGGGUGCUCGAGUGGCGAACGGGUGAGUAACACGUGAGUAACCUGCCCUUGACUUUGGGAUAACUUCAGGAAACUGGGGCUAAUACCGGAUAGGAGCUCCUGCUGCAUGGUGGUGGUUGGAAAGUUUCGGCGGUUGGGGAUGGACUCGCGGCUUAUCAGCUUGUUGGUGGGGUAGUGGCUUACCAAGGCUUUGACGGGUAGCCGGCCUGAGAGGGUGACCGGCGACAUUGGGACUGCGAGACGGACCAGAAUGCAACGGGAGGCAGCAGUGGGGAAUAUUGCACAAUGGGCGGAAGCCUGAUGCAGAAACGCCGCGUGCGGGAUGACGGGCUACGGGUGGUAAACCGCUUUCGAAGGUGACGAAGAGUGAGUGACGGUAAUGGGUAAAGAAGCACCGGCUAACUACGUG